Molecule: long non-coding RNA, 2046 nt
Filed under: Gallus gallus (chicken)
Lineage: Eukaryota; Metazoa; Chordata; Aves; Galliformes; Phasianidae
Description: long non-coding RNA NONGGAT001530
Source: RNAcentral
CAAAAACUGCCACAGAUGCACUCUGUGCAUUGAAAGAGUCAAGCCUGAGAAUCAUCUGGCAUGUGCAGUGUUGUUAAGGCAGAAGUGCUUGGCAGAGCUGCUGGAUGGAGCUUUGUUCAUAUGAAAAUGUCUACAGGCUCUCAAACAUCUAUACAGUACACAGAGACCCCAGCAAACAGCCCCAAGUGUGCUUCUCACUUCUUAUGAGCAGCUGGCUCCUCUUAAAGAGAAACUCCGGUUUAGAAUUAAGGCUGUUACUUAAAUAUAGCUAAAUGAUAGUUAAAACUGCAACUCAUAUAUAAGUAAGGAACAACACCAAGCCCAAAACAAAAGUCACAACAGAGGAUCCAUAACGCUGUACAGAACACCACAUUGGUAGGUAGAAUGCCAUCUUGUGAGCAACCACUGCAAUUUUCCCUGCACAAAUCAGCAUGGAACUAUAAAGGAGAUACCAGAUGUGGGAAAGGCAAUAAGGCAGAGAUCUCAAGAAUUGCACGAGCCUUUGUCACACUGUAAAGUUAUCAGCAGCCUCUUAUUUCCACGAGAAGAUGUGAGACACAUCCAAGCAAAAAAAAGACACCAGAAAGAGGAAGUGGUGCAGUGCUAUUUUGUGCACAAAAGAACACAAAGCACAUUGCCGUGCUGUCAAGCUGACAAAAUGAACUGACUGGAUAGAAAAGACAGGCUGUACAUUCCCAUCUGCCAUCAGAACAUGAACGCUGACAGAAAACAGUAAGAAACAGGGAGAAGAAAUGAAACGUGAAUGAAAUCUGCAGAACCAGAACAACAAAAACUCACCUCUGUGAGAGCUUUAUCCAGACUGGCAGCCAGCUUACCAAUGUCAUACAGAAGCUGAGUAGGUGCAGCAAUUUUAGCCACAGGUGUGCCCGGCAGUGCACAGAUGUGUCUGUUUUUUCAAGUGAUAUGGGAGCUGUUUGCAGAGUUAAGCAUUCCUCUCCUUCAUUUGCUCAGCUGCUGGCACGUGAAGUUUGGACUUUUACAGGCACAGUCACCUGACACGGAUCCAUCCAUCCCCUACCAGCUACACUGCAACCUGAGGUUCUACUUUUGGCUACACUGCAACCUGAGGUUCUACUUUUGAUAGCCAAAUUUAACCUCAAUUUUGGAUACUCCUUCUGUGCAAUUUUGUCACCACUACAACUGGUGCUGCAUCUAGAUUACCAACCUAAAACACCUUUGAAUCAGUAGACCCAGGAAACCUACCAGGGCAAUUGAACUGAAAAAACAGCUGCAGGAUAACCCGCCCUUCCCUAUACUUGCAGUUCUCACUAAAACAACCAUCUUCCCACUAGCAAAACCAGCAGCGAGCCAUCCUGCACCAUACCUCAAAGCCCACACCCACAGGUGCUUGCUGCAGUGCAUGCAUCUCACCAGCACUGCUGCUCUUAGGCUGCUGAAGGUCCAGCAUCUCUGUGGGCUUUUCUGCACUACGCCGUGCAUUUGAUGGAGCUCAGCUCUGGCAUUCUCAGCACAGCAUCUGUGCACCCUGAAGUUACUCCUUCUAGCUCAACAGCUGAAAGGGAGGUGUGCAAUGGAUUGGGAGCUAUAGAAGUGCCAGAGCUGCAGUGCAGUGCUGCAGCUCCUCACCUCCCUCCUGCACAGACAUGAUGCCGCCGUCCUUCGUGAGCCGCGGUGUAGCUGAGGGGAAGCCGUGGGCGCUGAGGAACACCAUGGCCCGGGUCUGCGCCUCGAUGAGGGCGGGCUGCUGGCUGUCUUCUGAGUUGGUGAUUUUGAGGACGUACUCCUCGGCCCCUUCAGCCUCACCUCCGUCUGAGACCUUCACGUGGAAGUUCUGAUCGUCGUAGCUGGGCAGGGGCCUGACCCACACCGCCUUUAACCCGAACACCUUGUCCACCAGCUCGGCCGCCUCCUCCUCGCCGAACGCCGGCUUGGUGGCUGCCUGCGGCUGGCGACGGUCUCCAGAAGCCAUCGCGUCUGUGAGAGAAAGACAGAGACUAGAAGAGGUGAGCCGUGCCGUGACACCAGCAGCGAUAACGGUCGCAACAAACAAACCAACAAACAAAC